UGGGGAAUAUUGCACAAUGGGCGCAAGCCUGAUGCAGCCAUGCCGCGUGUGUGAAGAAGGCCUUCGGGUUGUAAAGCACUUUCAGCGGGGAGGAAGGCGUUAAGGUUAAUAACCUUGGCGAUUGACGUUACCCGCAGAAGAAGCACCGGCUAACUCCGUGCCAGCAGCCGCGGUAAUACGGAGGGUGCAAGCGUUAAUCGGAAUUACUGGGCGUAAAGCGCACGCAGGCGGUCUGUCAAGUCGGAUGUGAAAUCCCCGGGCUCAACCUGGGAACUCCAUUCGAAACUGGCAGGCUAGAGUCUUGUAGAGGGGGGUAGGAUUCCAGGUGUAGCGGUGAAAAGCGUAGAGAUCUGGAGGAAUACCGGUGGCGAAGGCGGCCCCCUGGACAAAGACUGACGCUCAGGUGCGAAAGCGUGGGGAGCAAACAGG
This 429-nucleotide ribosomal RNA is filed under the name Chloroflexota bacterium. Its description in RNAcentral is "Chloroflexi bacterium partial 16S ribosomal RNA". It matches the Rfam family "Bacterial small subunit ribosomal RNA", at positions 355 to 776 of the family's 1533-position model. The record is from RNAcentral. Lineage: Bacteria; Bacillati; Chloroflexota.